This 265-nucleotide long non-coding RNA is filed under the name Helianthus annuus (common sunflower). Its description in RNAcentral is "sRNA HanXRQr2_Chr07g0309921". The record is from RNAcentral. Lineage: Eukaryota; Viridiplantae; Streptophyta; Magnoliopsida; Asterales; Asteraceae.
UUGGAUGAUUUGUUAUGCUAUUUUUGUUCAGAAACAUAUUUGUAUGUGAUUAACUAAAAUCCAAUAAGGAACGCAAGGUGGAAGCUUUGGGCAAACAAGGUAAGUGUUUUAUAAUUUAUUCUACAAUUCUAUAUAUAAGAUUGUGCAUUACAAGAAUCCUUUACAGAUAUACUAAAGAGAAAAAUGCUCGGAUAGUUCCUGUGGUUUCGCCUUUUUUCACCUUUAGUCCCUAACUUUCUAAAAUUACCUCAAUAGUCCCCAACUU